UUCUGGUUGAUCCUGCCGGACCUGACUGCUAUCGGAUUGAUACUAAGCCAUGCGAGUCAUUGUAGUAAUACAAGGCAGACGGCUCAGUAACGCGUAGUCAACCUAACCUAUGGACGGGAAUAACCUCGGGAAACUGAGUAUAAUGCCCGAUAGAACAUUAUGCCUGGAAUGGUUUAUGUUCCAAAUGAUUUAUCGCCGUAGGAUGGGACUGCGGCCUAUCAGUUUGUUGGUGAGGUAAUGGCCCACCAAGACUAUUACAGGUACGGGCUCUGAGAGGAGUAGCCCGGAGAUGGGUACUGAGACACGGACCCAGGCCCUAUGGGGCGCAGCAGGCGAGAAAACUUUGCAAUGUGCGAAAGCACGACAAGGUUAAUCCGAGUGGUUUCUGCUAAAGGAACCUUUUGUUAGUCCUAGAAACACUAACGAAUAAGGGGUGGGCAAGUUCUGGUGUCAGCCGCCGCGGUAAAACCAGCACCUCAAGUGGUCAGGAUGAUUAUUGGGCCUAAAGCAUCCGUAGCCGGCUCUAUAAGUUUUCGGUUAAAUCUGUACGCUCAACGUACAGGCUGCCGGGAAUACUGCAGAGCUAGGGAGUGGGAGAGGUAGACGGUACUCGGGAGGAAGGGGUAAAAUCCUUUGAUCUCUCGAUGACCACCUGUGGCGAAGGCGGUCUACCAGAACACGUCCGACGGUGAGGGAUGAAAGCUGGGGGAGCAAACCGGAUUAGAUACCCGGGUAGUCCCAGCUGUAAACUAUGCAAACUCAGUGAUGCAUUGACUUGUGGUCAAUGCAGUGCUGCAGGGAAGCCGUUAAGUUUGCCGCCUGGGAAGUACGUACGCAAGUAUGAAACUUAAAGGAAUUGGCGGGGGAGCACCACAAGGGGUGAAGCCUGCGGUUCAAUUGG
This 901-nucleotide ribosomal RNA is filed under the name uncultured archaeon. RNAcentral describes it as "bacterial SSU rRNA". It matches the Rfam family "Archaeal small subunit ribosomal RNA", at positions 1 to 909 of the family's 1478-position model. The record is from RNAcentral.